Molecule: ribosomal RNA, 253 nt
Filed under: uncultured bacterium
Lineage: Bacteria
Description: partial 16S ribosomal RNA
Rfam family: Bacterial small subunit ribosomal RNA
Source: RNAcentral
UACGAAGGGGGCUAGCGUUGUUCGGAAUUACUGGGCGUAAAGCGCGCGCAGGCGGUCUUCCAAGUCAGUGGUGAAAGCCCGGAGCUCAACUCCGGAACUGCCAUUGAAACUGUAAGACUUGAGGAUGAGAGAGGUGAGUAGAAUUCCCAGUGUAGAGGUGAAAUUCGUAGAUAUUGGGAAGAACACCGGUGGCGAAGGCGGCUCACUGGCUCACAUCUGACGCUCAGGCGCGACAGCGUGGGGAUCAAACAGG